AAAAAAUGAUACAAUUCUAAUAGUCUGAAGACAGUGCAGCUGGCCAGUGGAACGAAGCUUGAUUGACAUUUUGGAUAGCCUUUAUGCCAACUAAAUCCACAAUUUAACAGAUUUUUCUAAAUUCUUUUGGAGAUCUGUCUUAGUAAAAAGUUGCUGCAGCCAAGGUAGUACUACUGUGACCUGCUAAAUGCCAGGGAGAACCAUGAAAGUUCAGCUCAACUGGAAAAUUAUUUAGAAGCACCUUGUUUCUUUGUGUCCUAGAAGGAUCCACAGAUGCAUCAUGUUAAAUUUGAGAAUAAAAUAUAGUCACACCUUGCUACAAUAAAAAAAAAAGAAAGAAAGAAGAAAGAAAGAAAGAAAGAAAGAAAGAAAGAAAGAAAGAAAGAAAGAAAGAAAGAAAGAAAGAAAAGAAAAAGAAAAAGAAAAAGACCCGGGGCAUAUGAUCUGUAUUCUGGAAGGUUAUGUGCCCAAUAUAAAUUCAGUACUAUGGAAAAGGGAGAAAAAUGAUUUUUAGGUACAACUAGGAUAUUCUACUAUUUGGUGUGUCUGGUAUUAAAGUAAGUUGACAAAUAUAACAAAAAUUAUUGUGUGUCAAGCAUUUUUAAGUGUCUUGUAUGUUUAUUUAUGUACUUUUUUAUAUCUAAAGGAUAUGUGCCCUUUACUAAAAGUUUUCUUAACAUAUUUUCCAAAUAUUCAGAA
Suricata suricatta (meerkat) is the source of this 699-nucleotide long non-coding RNA. RefSeq lists it as uncharacterized. The record is from RefSeq and is a predicted model, not a curated record. Lineage: Eukaryota; Metazoa; Chordata; Mammalia; Carnivora; Herpestidae. The transcript is spliced from 6 exons.